Molecule: long non-coding RNA, 466 nt
Organism: Symphalangus syndactylus (siamang)
Lineage: Eukaryota; Metazoa; Chordata; Mammalia; Primates; Hylobatidae
Source: RefSeq, a predicted model, not a curated record
GUUUCUAAAGAUCUACAGAAGCAGAAAGGAAUCUUCAUAGCUGGUGGGAAAAUGUUAUUCUUCAAGGUCAACUUAGUAUGGGGAAAUAUGAUUCCCAAUGUAGACUACAACUUUGCAAACAGUCCUAUCUAUAUGGAAAAGUUUAAGGGCUGACCUGCCGGAGAGCAACAAGAACUGACUGAAUGGACCUUCCUCAUCAAGAAUUCUGACCAAACAUCAUAUUCUAGAAAGAAACCUCUACAAAGAAAGCAGCUAAUCUCUGAUAUUUGCUCAUUAAAGACCGCUACUUCUUUUGAUACUGCCCUAAUGCUGGUUUAUUAUGUAAAAAUACACCCCGCUGUCAGAACCAUGACCUAAAGGUUUAAUGAAAAGGCUGGGCCCAAAUCAGCCAGAAAGCAAAAAAGCAGCAGAUCAACUUUGUGAUAUCUUUGUCUCUUGCCAUAUGGUUCAGGGAAAUAAAGAUCCU